This 253-nucleotide ribosomal RNA is filed under the name uncultured bacterium. Its description in RNAcentral is "partial 16S ribosomal RNA". It matches the Rfam family "Bacterial small subunit ribosomal RNA", at positions 524 to 776 of the family's 1533-position model. The record is from RNAcentral.
UACAGAGGUCCCAAGCGUUGUUCGGAUUCACUGGGCGUAAAGGGUGCGUAGGCGGUCGGGUAAGUCUGAUGUGAAAUCUCACAGCUUAACUGUGAAACUGCAUUGGAUACUAUUCGGCUUGAGAGUUGGAGGGGGGACUGGAAUUCUUGGUGUAGCAGUGAAAUGCGUAGAUAUCAAGAGGAACACCAGUGGCGAAGGCGAGUCCCUGGACAACUUCUGACGCUGAGGCACGGAAGCUAGGGGAGCAAACAGG